Molecule: long non-coding RNA, 909 nt
Filed under: Elaeis guineensis (African oil palm)
Lineage: Eukaryota; Viridiplantae; Streptophyta; Magnoliopsida; Arecales; Arecaceae
Description: long non-coding RNA (EGUI_LNC010202)
Source: RNAcentral
UCAAAAACUGACCAAAUCAGAAGAGAAUCCAUUGAUGGCCUAUAAAUAUAGGAAUGAUUUUCUUCUCCUUUACUCCUUAAGCCUCCACCAAACAAUUGCCUCCAAAUGUCAUCCCAUAGAACUUGCCACCACCAUAGGCGCCACCCUCAUCGCCACCAUCAUCACUAUCUUCGACGACACCUUCGUCACCAUUCUCCACAUCAACGAAGGCCCCAUUUUUACUCUUCAGUAACUAUCCAAGUCCAGAUGACCAAUCCACAUCACCACCUCACUAUCAUCCUCAUCAUCAAGCAAUCUUCCUCAAACAUAAGAGUAUUAUCUGGAGGAAAGACAUGCUCCUCCGCCUACUCAAAAUUCACCACCAGUUCGUCAGCCCAGUCAUUCAAAAGAUCAACAUUCCGCAACCAACACUCCUGAUCAGCAUUCAGCAAUCCAUCAACAGCCAGCACCAUCCAUUCCUCUUAUUCUUCUUGGAUUUGAAGAUGUGUACAGAGGUAGGCCAGAAGAAGCACACCACCAAAGCAAGCUAACACUCCAGCAUCCAGCACCAAUUCAUCAUCCAGUCCAAAGACUCCAACCUCCAAAAGACAGCACAUAUGGAUAGACACUACCUACUCUCCCCCAUCAAGUGACAUCUGUAGACAGAUGAUCAAAAAGCAAAAGGAAGAUUCCAACAUGAAGACAAACUCUGUUACUUUUUCUCAAAAGUAACUUCUCCACCAAGUAAACUACCUCACCAAGAAGAUGCUUCACCAAAAAUCACUAGACGACUCACCUCCAAAGUUAGUUACUUUACUUUACCAGCAAGUAGGCAAGCCAACAAAAGCUGAUUACUUAGCCAGAAAGUUACUUCGGCAUCAAGUUGAUUAGCCACCAAGUUACUUCGCCCACAAGCAAGAUGACUUCACC